CCUACGGGUGGCAGCAGUGAGGAAUAUUGGUCAAUGGUCGGGAGACUGAACCAGCCAAGCCGCGUGAGUGAAGAAGUAUUUCGGUAUGUAAAGCUCUAUCAGCAGGGAAGAAAAUGACAGUACCUGACCAAGAAGCCCCGGCUAACUACGUGCCAGCAGCCGCGGUAAUACGUAGGGGGCAAGCGUUAUCCGGAUUUACUGGGUGUAAAGGGAGCGUAGACGGUUAUGUAAGUCUGGAGUGAAAGCCCGGGGCCCAACCCCGGGACUGCUUUGGAAACUGUGUAACUGGAGUACAGGAGGGGCAGGCGGAAUUCCUGGUGUAGCGGUGAAAUGCGUAGAUAUCAGGAGGAACACCGGCGGCGAAGGCGGCCUGCUGGACUGAAACUGACGUUGAGGCUCGAAAGCGUGGGGAGCAAACAGGAUUAGAUACCCGGGUAGUC
This 440-nucleotide ribosomal RNA is filed under the name uncultured bacterium. RNAcentral's name for it is "partial 16S ribosomal RNA". It matches the Rfam family "Bacterial small subunit ribosomal RNA", at positions 338 to 795 of the family's 1533-position model. The record is from RNAcentral.